This 774-nucleotide ribosomal RNA is filed under the name uncultured archaeon. RNAcentral describes it as "bacterial SSU rRNA". It matches the Rfam family "Archaeal small subunit ribosomal RNA", at positions 71 to 847 of the family's 1478-position model. The record is from RNAcentral.
GCAAUACAUGGCGUACUGCUCAGUAACACGUGGACAACCUACCCUCCGGACGGGUAUAAACCCGGGAAACUGGGUAUAAUCCCCGAUAGAUCUCGGUCGCUGGAAAGCCCCGAGAUCGAAAGCUCCGGCGCCAGAGGAUGGGUCUGCGGCCUAUCAGGUAGUAGUGGGUGUAGCGUACCUACUAGCCUACGACGGGUACGGGUUGUGAGAGCAAGAGCCCGGAGAUGGAUUCUGAGACACGAAUCCAGGCCCUACGGGGUGCAGCAGGCGCGAAAACUUUACAAUGCGGGGAACCGCGAUAAGGGGACACCGAGUGCCAGCAUCCUAUGUUGGCUGUCCAUAUGUCUAAAUCACAUGUGUUAGCAAGGGCCGGGCAAGACCGGUGCCAGCCGCCGCGGUAACACCGGCGGCCCGAGUGGUGGCCACUAUUAUUGGGUCUAAAGCGUCCGUAGCCGGUUUAGCAAGUUCCUGGUGAAAUCUGGCAGCAAACUGUCAGGCAUGCUGGGAAUACUACUAGACUUGAGAUUGGGAGAGGUCAGAGGUAGUCCAUGUGUAGGGGUUAAAUCCUUUAAUCCAUGGAGGACCACCGGUGGCGAAGGCGUCUGACUGGAACAAGUCUGACGGUGAGGGACGAAAGCGUGGGGAGCAAAGCGGAUUAGAUACCCGUGUAGUCCACGCUGUAAACGAUGUCCGCUUGAUGUGUCAAAUCUUACGUGGAUUUGUCGUAUCGGAGCGUAGGUGUUAAGCGGACCACCUGGGGACUACGGCCGCAAG